This 253-nucleotide ribosomal RNA is filed under the name uncultured bacterium. Its description in RNAcentral is "partial 16S ribosomal RNA". It matches the Rfam family "Bacterial small subunit ribosomal RNA", at positions 524 to 776 of the family's 1533-position model. The record is from RNAcentral.
UACGUAGGUGGCAAGCGUUAUCCGGAUUUACUGGGUGUAAAGGGAGCGUAGACGGUAUGGCAAGUCUGAAGUGAAAGCCCAGGGCUUAACCCUGGGACUGCUUUGGAAACUGUUAGACUAGAGUGCUGGAGAGGUAAGUGGAAUUCCUAGUGUAGCGGUGAAAUGCGUAGAUAUUAGGAGGAACACCAGUGGCGAAGGCGGCUUGCAGGACAGUAACUGACGUUGAGGCUCGAAAGCGUGGGGAGCAAACAGG